CUUCGUGAUAGCUGGUUCUCUCCGAAAUGCAUUUAGGUGCAGCGUUGCGUGUUUCUUGCCGGAGGUAGAGCUACUGGAUGGCCGAUGGGCCCUACAAGGUUACUGACGUCAGCCAAACUCCGAAUGCCGGUAAGUGAGAGCGCAGCAGUGAGACUGUGGGGGAUAAGCUUCAUAGUCGAGAGGGAAACAACCCAGACCACCAACUAAGGUCCCAAAGCGCGUGCUAAGUGGGAAAGGAUGUGGAGUUGCUGUGACAACCAGGAGGUUGGCUUAGAAGCAGCCACCCUUGAAAGAGUGCGUAAUAGCUCACUGGUCAAGUGAUUCCGCGCCGACAAUGUAACGGGGCUCAAGCACGCCACCGAAGUUGUGGCAUUGACAUUAUUGGUAGGCCUUCGUGGUCCAGCCGUGUUGAUGGGUAGGAGAGCGUCGUGUGGCCAGCGAAGCGGCGGUGUGAACCAGCCGUGGAGGCUACACGAGUGAGAAUGCAGG
Molecule: ribosomal RNA, 489 nt
Filed under: uncultured bacterium
Lineage: Bacteria
Description: bacterial LSU rRNA
Rfam family: Bacterial large subunit ribosomal RNA
Source: RNAcentral